Molecule: transfer RNA, 82 nt
Filed under: Bacteroides sp. 43_108
Lineage: Bacteria; Pseudomonadati; Bacteroidota; Bacteroidia; Bacteroidales; Bacteroidaceae
Also listed under: 1 other name
Description: tRNA-Leu
Rfam family: tRNA
About the family: Transfer RNA (tRNA) molecules are approximately 80 nucleotides in length. Their secondary structure includes four short double-helical elements and three loops (D, anti-codon, and T loops).
Source: RNAcentral
GCGCCUGUGGCGAAAUUGGUAGACGCGUCAGACUUAGGAUCUGAUGUCUAGCGAUGUGCAGGUUCGAGUCCUGUCAGGCGCA